This 72-nucleotide transfer RNA is filed under the name Eurytemora carolleeae. RNAcentral describes it as "transfer RNA valine (anticodon AAC)". It matches the Rfam family "tRNA". From Rfam's summary of the family: Transfer RNA (tRNA) molecules are approximately 80 nucleotides in length. Their secondary structure includes four short double-helical elements and three loops (D, anti-codon, and T loops). Further hydrogen bonds mediate the characteristic L-shaped molecular structure. tRNAs have two regions of fundamental functional importance: the anti-codon, which is responsible for specific mRNA codon recognition, and the 3' end, to which the tRNAs corresponding amino acid is attached (by aminoacyl-tRNA synthetases). tRNAs cope with the degeneracy of the genetic code in two manners: having more than one tRNA (with a specific anti-codon) for a particular amino acid; and 'wobble' base-pairing, i.e. permitting non-standard base-pairing at the 3rd anti-codon position. The record is from RNAcentral. Lineage: Eukaryota; Metazoa; Arthropoda; Copepoda; Calanoida; Temoridae.
GUUUCUGUGUGUAGAGGUUAUCACAUCUGCCUAACACGCAGAAGGUCUCCGGUUCGAUCCGGGACAGAAACA